GAUCAUGGCUCAGGACGAGCGCUGGCGGCGUGCCUAACACAUGCAAGUCGAACGGUUGAGAGGUGAGAGUUGGGAGGUUAGAAGUGAGAGCUUGAAGGUAUUGGCCAACAUGCCAAUACCAGCAAUGAAGUCUCACAUCCCGCUUCCCACAUCUCACUUCUCAAUAGUGGCGGACGGGUGAGUAACGCGUGGGCAACCUACCCAUCAGACUGGGAUAACACCGGGAAACUGGUGCUAAUACCGGAUACGCUUAUGGAGGGGCAUCCCUUUGUAAGGAAAGAAAAUCGCUGAUGGAUGGGCCCGCGUCUGAUUAGCUAGUUGGUGGGGUAGUGGCCUACCAAGGCGACGAUCAGUAGCCGGCCUGAGAGGGUGACCGGCCACACUGGGACUGAGACACGGCCCAGACUCCUACGGGAGGCAGCAGUGGGGAAUAUUGCGCAAUGGGGGAAACCCUGACGCAGCAACGCCGCGUGAGUGACGAAGGCCUUCGGGUCGUAAAGCUCUGUCGACAGGGACGAAUAGAUGACGGUACCUGAGGAGGAAGCCCCGGCUAACUACGUGCCAGCAGCCGCGGUAAUACGUAGGGGGCGAGCGUUGUCCGGAAUUAUUGGGCGUAAAGGGCGUGUAGGCGGGUACCUAAGUCAGUGGUGAAAACCGACGGCUCAACCGGAGGCAUGCCAUUGAAACUGGGUAUCUUGAGGGC
RNAcentral lists this ribosomal RNA (703 nucleotides) under uncultured bacterium. RNAcentral describes it as "bacterial SSU rRNA". It matches the Rfam family "Bacterial small subunit ribosomal RNA", at positions 15 to 649 of the family's 1533-position model. The record is from RNAcentral.